UGGGGAAUAUUGCACAAUGGGCGCAAGCCUGAUGCAGCCAUGCCGCGUGUGUGAAGAAGGCCUUCGGGUUGUAAAGCACUUUCAGCGAGGAGGAAGGUGGUGGACUUAAUACGUUCAUCAAUUGACGUUACUCGCAGAAGAAGCACCGGCUAACUCCGUGCCAGCAGCCGCGGUAAUACGGAGGGUGCAAGCGUUAAUCGGAAUUACUGGGCGUAAAGCGCACGCAGGCGGUUUGUUAAGUCAGAUGUGAAAUCCCCGGGCUCAACCUGGGAACUGCAUUUGAAACUGGCAAGCUAGGGUCUCGUAGAGGGGGGUAGAAUUCCAGGUGUAGCGGUGAAAUGCGUAGAGAUCUGGAGGAAUACCGGUGGCGAAGGCGGCCCCCUGGACGAAGACUGACGCUCAGGUGCGAAAGGGUGGGGAGCAAACAGGAUUAGAUACCCUGGUAGUCCACGCUGUAAACGAUGUCGAUUUGGAGGUUGUGCCCUUGAGGCGUGGCUUCCGGAGCUAACGCGUUAAAUCGACCGCCUGGGGAGUACGGCCGCAAGGUU
Molecule: ribosomal RNA, 548 nt
Filed under: uncultured bacterium
Lineage: Bacteria
Description: partial 16S ribosomal RNA
Rfam family: Bacterial small subunit ribosomal RNA
Source: RNAcentral